RNAcentral lists this RNase P RNA (378 nucleotides) under Sediminibacterium roseum. RNAcentral describes it as "RNase P RNA component class A". It matches the Rfam family "Bacterial RNase P class A". Rfam says of the family: Ribonuclease P (RNase P) is a ubiquitous endoribonuclease, found in archaea, bacteria and eukarya as well as chloroplasts and mitochondria. Its best characterised activity is the generation of mature 5'-ends of tRNAs by cleaving the 5'-leader elements of precursor-tRNAs. Cellular RNase Ps are ribonucleoproteins. Lineage: Bacteria; Pseudomonadati; Bacteroidota; Chitinophagia; Chitinophagales; Chitinophagaceae. The record is from RNAcentral.
ACUACAACCCGAGCUAUCGCUCCGUUUACGGGGAGGAAAGUCCGGACAGCGCAGGGCGGCCCACCGGUUAAGCGCCGGCUCCCGGCAGCAAUGCAGGGAAGAGAAAGUGCCACAGAAAAUAACUACCCUCCACAGUAAUGUGAAGGGAAAAGGUGAAAAUGUGAGGUAAAAGCUCACGGUCUUCCGCAGUAAUGCGGAACACGGGUAAACCUUGGGUGCUGUAAUGCCACGUAUAGGAUCGUUCGAGAGCGGCCCGCUCAAGCGCCUGGCUUCGGCCGGGACACGGUUCAGGGUAGGCAGCAAGAUCGCGCCAGUAAUGGCGCGGCCAGAUAAAUGAUAGUUUAGAAACAGAAUCCGGCUUACGAGGCUGUAGUUUAA